This 225-nucleotide ribosomal RNA is filed under the name uncultured Actinomyces sp. Its description in RNAcentral is "partial 16S ribosomal RNA". It matches the Rfam family "Bacterial small subunit ribosomal RNA", at positions 266 to 507 of the family's 1533-position model. Lineage: Bacteria; Bacillati; Actinomycetota; Actinomycetes; Actinomycetales; Actinomycetaceae. The record is from RNAcentral.
ACUACAGCCUACGACGGGUAGGGGGCGUGAGAGCGUGGCCCCCCACACGGGAACUGAGACACGGUCCCGACGCCUACGGGCGGCAGCAGUGAGGAAUCUUGCGCAAUGGGGGAAACCCUGACGCAGCGACACCGCGUGCGGGAGGAAGGCCUUCGGGUCGUAAACCGCUUUUCUGAGGGACGAGGAAGGACGGUACCUCAGGAAUAAGUCCCGGCUAACUACGUG